Long non-coding RNA from Prionailurus viverrinus (fishing cat), 352 nucleotides. RefSeq lists it as uncharacterized. The transcript has 4 exons. The record is from RefSeq and is a predicted model, not a curated record. Lineage: Eukaryota; Metazoa; Chordata; Mammalia; Carnivora; Felidae.
CCACAACCAAGUGAGAAUCCCGAAAGCCUCUGAGUAAGCAACGAGAAUGCAUUAGACAGAGACAGCACGGUAAACAAUCCAGCAAGCAGCGACGGGAGACAACAUGGGGAAGAGGCUUCCAGGACCUUCACAAAUACUUCAACUUUAUUGCCCUGACUCCUUGCUGAGAAUAUGAUUCGAAGAAAAGCACUCAUCAAAACACCCAGGGAAACACAAUCUUUGACAUGGAAAUAUCAGCAAGUGUUGGAAAGACAUUCCAGGAGUGAAGCAUUUAUUAUGUAUCUUCGAGGAUGAACUCUUACACUUUAUCACUCUGCUGCCUGUUAUGAGGGUAUGUCGAUUGGACUAUGGG